AUAGCGUAUAUUAAAGUUGUUGUGGUUAAAAAGCUCGUAGUUGAACCUUGGGCCUGGCUGGCCGGUCCGCCUCACCGCGUGUACUGGUCCGGCCGGGCCUUUCCCUCUGUGUAACCCCAUGCCCUUCACUGGGUGUGGCGGGGAACAAGGACUUUUACUUUGAAAAAAUUAGAGUGCUCAAGGCAGGCAUUUGCUCGGAUACAUUAGCAUGGAAUAAUAGAAUAGGACGUGUGGUUCUAUUUUGUUGGUUUCUAGAACCACCGUAAUGAUUAAUAGGGACAGUCGGGGGCAUCAGUAUUCAAUUGUCAGAGGUGAAAUUCUUGGAUUUAUUGAAGACUAACUACUG
Molecule: ribosomal RNA, 346 nt
Filed under: uncultured eukaryote
Lineage: Eukaryota
Description: SSU rRNA
Rfam family: Eukaryotic small subunit ribosomal RNA
Source: RNAcentral